CCCCUUAUGUCUUGGGCUACACACGUGCUACAAUGGUCGGUACAAACAGUUGCGAUCUCGUAAGAGGGAGCUAAUCUGAAAAAGCCGAUCUCAGUUCGGAUUGAGGGCUGCAACUCGCCCUCAUGAAGCCGGAAUCGCUAGUAAUCGCGAAUCAGCAAUGUCGCGGUGAAUACGUUCUCGGGUCUUGUACACACCGCCCGUCACACCAUGAGAGUUGAUAAUACCAGAAGUCGGUAUUCUAACCGCAAGGAGGAAGCCGCCCAAGGUAGGAUUGAUGAUUAGGGUGAAGUCGUAACAAGGUAUCCGUACGAGAACGUGCGGAUGGAUCACCUCCUUUCUAUGGAGUUAAUACUUUAUAGUAAUUAACUAGUUUUAAUGACCGUUAUGUUUAGUUUUCAGAGAUUAGUUUCUCUGACAAUAACAAGUAAAUGUUAUUGGAAUUGUUCUUUGAAAACUGGAUAAUAGACAUCUAGUUAUUUUAAUCACAUGAUUAAAAUAACAAUAAUUCAAAAUUUCUGUUAUUUUUAAAAAAUAACUAAAAUUUCACAGUUAUAUUUGUAAAUGAUUCUCAAAAAACUGAUUUAAAAUCAGGUCAAAUAAUUUAUAAAACUUUGAAGUUACAAAGGGCGUAUGGUGAAUGCCUUGGGAAUAGGAGACGAUGAAGGACGUGACUACCUGCGAUAAGGUUCGGGGAGCUGGAAGUAAGCUUUGAUCCGGACAUGUCCGAAUGGGGAAACCCGGUGAGAUUAAUCUCUCAUCAUCCUAUAAUGAAUAAAUAGUUAUAGUGAAGGUAUACCUAGGGAAUUGAAACAUCUUAGUACCUAGAGGAAAAGAAAGCGAAUGCGAUUCUCUUAGUAGCGGCGAGCGAACGGGGAACAGCCCAAACCAGAUUUAUCUGGGGUUGUAGGACCAUAAUAGUAGAGUUACAAAACUUGUUUAUAGUAGAAAUGGUUGGGAAACCAUGCCGUAGAGGGUGAUAGCCCCGUAUACGAAAUAGACAAGACUCGAAAUGGAAUCCUGAGUACGGCGAGACACGUGAAAUCUUGUCGGAAUCAACGCGGACCACCGCGUAAGGCUAAAUACUACCUAUUCACCGAUAGUGAACCAGUACCGUGAGGGAAAGGUGAAAAGCACCCCGGGAGGGGAGUGAAAUAGUACCUGAAACCAUAUGCCUACAAGAAGUCGGAGCCCGUUAAUGGGUGACGGCGUGCCUUUUGUAGAAUGAGCCGGCGAGUUAUGAUAGCAUGCAAGGUUAAGUAGAAAAUACGGAGCCGUAGUGAAAGCGAGCCUUAAUAGGGCGUUUAGUAUGUUGUCAUAGACCCGAAACCAGGUGAUCUAGCCAUGAGCAGGUUGAAGUUGAGGUAAAACUUAAUGGAGGACCGAACCGACGUUCGUUGAAAAGACCGCGGAUGACUUGUGGCUAGGGGUGAAAUUCCAAUCGAACCUGGAGAUAG
Molecule: small RNA, 1454 nt
Filed under: Spiroplasma sp. M10
Lineage: Bacteria; Bacillati; Mycoplasmatota; Mollicutes; Entomoplasmatales; Spiroplasmataceae
Description: bacterial LSU rRNA
Rfam family: Bacterial large subunit ribosomal RNA (bases 611-1454)
Source: RNAcentral